This 785-nucleotide long non-coding RNA is filed under the name Rattus norvegicus (Norway rat). Its description in RNAcentral is "long non-coding RNA NONRATT000317". Lineage: Eukaryota; Metazoa; Chordata; Mammalia; Rodentia; Muridae. The record is from RNAcentral.
GUGUGAAGCCUAUUCUCCUGACUGGAGGGAUCUGGAUUCUCGAACACUUGGACAUCACUGUAAAGGAGCCAGGCUUGCCUUUGGAAGUCAUACACAUCACUUACGUAAUGGCCUGAAUUUGGGGAGCUCCCAAAAUGGCUGACAACACUGACGAGCCUGUAAUUAUGAAGAUUGUCUCCCAUCUCCUCAUCCUUUGAUUCAUCAGAACCCAAUGCAAAGGAAUGCGGAUCAUCUUCCUCAAAUUCUGAAGACCUGCUCAGGUCCUUCUCUGGGUCUUCCAGAGAACUUCUCAUAUUUGCAAAUGAUGCCGGUAGAUACGAACCCUUGAUUCGACCCCCAUGAUUCUGGUGGAGUUUUGACAGCUCACUGUUAGUACGGCCAUCUGGCUUUCCAUAGUACUUAAAUUCUGGAUUCUCUGGAACCUCUUGAAGACCCAUCUCUGCAAGACCUGGGUCUUGGAUGCUCAUAGGCUCACAGAGCAUAGGAAGGAAGCUGUAUCCGUCACCCAUCAUUGAGUCAGGUGCUGGAGAUAUCUUCUGUCUGAAUACCCUGUUUUCUGUCUUCAAUAGUUCUGGGUCCAGCAUAGAACCACUUUCCAGGCCUCUCUGCUGCUCUUCUUCACUUUCAUCCUCAUACAUUAUCUGGAAGCUUUGUAUUUCGGCAUCCACGCUGGAUCCAACCUGUAGAACCAGGGGGUCACUGGAUUCAGAAAUCACCUUCUUAGACGACAUUGACUGGCUAAAGAUCUCAGGCAUCAGCCCUGGAGAGACAUUUGGGAUAUCAUA